This 91-nucleotide transfer RNA is filed under the name Colidextribacter sp. OB.20. RNAcentral describes it as "tRNA-Ser". Lineage: Bacteria; Bacillati; Bacillota; Clostridia; Eubacteriales. The record is from RNAcentral.
ACAGCGGUCUUGUAAAGUUUUUUUGGCACAACGCACUCGAAAUCAGUUUGCAGGCAACUGCACGUGGGUUCGAAUCCCACCCGCUGCGCCA